Photinus pyralis (common eastern firefly) is the source of this 1619-nucleotide long non-coding RNA. RefSeq lists it as uncharacterized. Lineage: Eukaryota; Metazoa; Arthropoda; Insecta; Coleoptera; Lampyridae. The record is from RefSeq and is a predicted model, not a curated record. The transcript has 4 exons.
ACAUACCGGUUAGACGAUAAACUAGCUACUCUACAAUGAUGCAAACGUCAUGGCUUUUAUCAUGAUAUUCAUCUGACUUUUUUUAGGUGGUGGGCCGGGCUUGACGAGGAUGGACCGUGACAGCUGAAAUAUCUACUUACAAAGUUGGUGACACGGUAGUAUGUUGCGUGACGCUAGUGUGGUGAAGUUCUCUACGCACAAUUAUUCCGCGCCCGCGGCCCGACGGAUUCAAAAUAUGCCUCGAGGUACACGCAUAGAAAAGCAGCUUUGUUGUAAAAUCACCAAAAUCGAUAAUAAGAGCAUAAUGGCCAACCACGCCCUUUUUAAAUGGAAAAUAGGAUGCAAGAUCCUCCUCUAUGCAGCAUGCAGUAAUGUUUAAUCUAUCCAUGUGAAUCCGAUACAGAAGGUGACUGCUUCGGCGGAUAUCCCCAAAAUUUAUCGUAAACGAUGUAUACCUUCUGACAUUUUAUCUGCGUGCAUCGGUCUUCAGGUUGCAUCCACCACACCCAGCCUGUCACAGUCUCUAUUCAAUAUAGGACAUAAAAUAGUAAAUCCUGCCCACAGAGUCGCGGGGAAGCUACCCUUCGAAUUGCGUCGGCGUCGACGUCUACAGUUGAACGCCGCGACGUGAGAUCAACAUACCGUCAACAGACGUCCUUUAAGUUAGUAGCAGUUCUACCUUCCUAACAGAAUCACAUAGCACACCUCAACUUGUUAUUCAUACUUGACAGUUGCAGACUUCUUCUAGACAACAUUCUAAAAGUCUAAAAUGAUAUACGGGACGUUAAAUUCGCGUAUGUUGGUGAGCAUGAAUUAUUUUUACAUAACUUUAAUUACCGUACGCAAUAGCGAUUAGUGCAGUAAACGAAGGUACUUGUGCGGUACUAAAUUAGAAAAGUGCUUUGAUCAAUCAUCAUAAAAUGUGCAGGGUUCGCUUUGAGAUUCUACAAAACGCUUCAGCAUUCCAUUUAUAUAGAACCUUAAAGUGACAGCCCAUAAAUUUAACUUUAAAUGUAUCGCGUCUUGAGAAUCUUAGAGCUUUAUUUUGUAAAUGAUGUAUAUUGCAUUAAAGCACAGUCUAAGUAACUGCAAUUUCCCCUGGGUUUAGCACCCCUUUAAAUCUAUCGGUAUUGGGUAAGGAUGUACAAAAAGCAGGUAAAAUUUAGUAACCCCACGAGUACUUUCGUAAGGAAACAUGGCUGCGAGCUAUAGGAAAGUGUUCACCUGGGAACUCUCAGUAAACCCUCUACUUUCAAAUAUUGCCACUGAGGGAUUAGUUAUGUGGAAUAUUUCUGUAUUUUUCGCACCUAUAUACCCUACCCUAAUCUUAUAGUAAACAGCACAUGUUUAUGUUUAAUACCAUACUUAGUUGUUAUUCUAAUUUAUAGAUUAGGUGUCUCUUCUGCUCGAUAGGAUCACUUUGAAGACAGAAUGUAAACCCCCUGUACGUAUACUGAAUGUAUCCUGAGUGUCUUCUGUCCGGUAUACCUUCAGUAUACGUAACAGGAGGCCACACUUUUCACCGCUGGACCUUCUGGACGCAUCUUCUUCGUCUUGAUUCAGCUGCAGAAAUAUAAUUGUAAAACCGAUUAAAUUGUUAAUUUAUACUCCUGUAUGUA